GGGAGGUAAAUUUCUCCUAAGGCUAAAUAACGGCGAGAGACCGAUAGCGAACAAGUACCGUGAGGGAAAGAUGAAAAGAACCUUGAAAAGAGAGUUAAACAGUACGUGAAAUUGUUGAAAGGGAAACGAUUAAAGCCAGUCGUACCGGCGGGUAAUCAGCCUUUUGGGUGUGAUUAUGUGGAGCGUGAGGAGUUUAAUCGCCUUCAUGCCUGCGUAUUCGUGCACUUUGGGUGUACUUGCUCGUGUGGUAGGUUAACAUCAAUUUCGGUCGUCAUAAAAUGAUCGGAGGAAUGUAGCUUCGAU
Molecule: ribosomal RNA, 303 nt
Filed under: uncultured fungus
Lineage: Eukaryota; Fungi
Description: partial 28S ribosomal RNA
Rfam family: Eukaryotic large subunit ribosomal RNA
Source: RNAcentral